GUAAAUAUAGUUUAACAAAAACAUUAGAUUGUGAUUCUAAAAAUAGAGGUUAGAUCCCCCUUAUUCACC
RNAcentral lists this transfer RNA (69 nucleotides) under Liachirus melanospilos (carpet sole). RNAcentral describes it as "tRNA-His". It matches the Rfam family "tRNA". From Rfam's summary of the family: Transfer RNA (tRNA) molecules are approximately 80 nucleotides in length. Their secondary structure includes four short double-helical elements and three loops (D, anti-codon, and T loops). Lineage: Eukaryota; Metazoa; Chordata; Actinopteri; Pleuronectiformes; Soleidae. The record is from RNAcentral.